UAGCCGUAAACGAUACUCGCUAGGUGUCGGCCACGGUGCGACCGUUGUCGGUGCCGUAGGGAAGCCGUGAAGCGAGCCACCUGGGAAGUACGGCCGCAAGGCUGAAACUUAAAGGAAUUGGCGGGGGAGGCACAACAACGGGUGGAGCUUGCGGUUUAAUUGGAUUCAACGCCGGAAAUCUUACCGGGACCGACAGCAACAUGAAGGCCAAGCUGAAGACUUCGCCGGAUUAGCUGAGAGGAGGUGCAUGGCGUAGUCGUGU
This 262-nucleotide ribosomal RNA is filed under the name uncultured archaeon. RNAcentral's name for it is "partial 16S ribosomal RNA". It matches the Rfam family "Archaeal small subunit ribosomal RNA", at positions 748 to 1009 of the family's 1478-position model. The record is from RNAcentral.